CACCGAGCUCUUCUUUUUGGAGG
This 23-nucleotide microRNA is filed under the name Physcomitrium patens. RNAcentral's name for it is "ppt-miR1079-5p". Lineage: Eukaryota; Viridiplantae; Streptophyta; Bryopsida; Funariales; Funariaceae. The record is from miRBase by way of RNAcentral.